UGGGGAAUUUUCCGCAAUGGGCGCAAGCCUGACGGAGCAAUACCGCGUGAGGGAGGAAGGCUUUUGGGUUGUAAACCUCUUUUCUCAAGGAAGAAGCACUGACGGUACUUGAGGAAUCAGCAUCGGCUAACUCCGUGCCAGCAGCCGCGGUAAGACGGAGGGCGCUAGCGUUGUUCGGAAUCACUGGGCGUAAAGGGCGCGUAGGCGGCCAUGUAAGUCGAGGGUGAAAGCCCGGGGCUCAACCCCGGAACGGCCUUCGCGACUGCGUGGCUCGAGACCGGAAGAGGAGGGUGGAAUACCCAGUGUAGAGGUGAAAUUCGUAGAUAUUGGGUGGAACACCAGUGGCGAAAGCGGCUCUCUGGUCCGGAUCUGACGCUGAGGCGCGAAAGCGUGGGGAGCAAACAGGAUUAGAUACCCGUGUAGUCC
RNAcentral lists this ribosomal RNA (426 nucleotides) under uncultured prokaryote. RNAcentral's name for it is "bacterial SSU rRNA". It matches the Rfam family "Bacterial small subunit ribosomal RNA", at positions 355 to 796 of the family's 1533-position model. The record is from RNAcentral.